This 329-nucleotide unclassified non-coding RNA is filed under the name Dermacentor andersoni. Its description in RNAcentral is "uncharacterized LOC126544279". Lineage: Eukaryota; Metazoa; Arthropoda; Arachnida; Ixodida; Ixodidae. The record is from RNAcentral.
UAAUUAACGAAGCGUGCACUUAUUGACAUUUUCAGAGCGUGCUGAUGCCAUGCCGUCCGGCGGUCCAAGUUACGGCAGCUACUGCUGUGUGUCGUGGUGCUUCAACAAUGGCAAAACCCAGAAGAAGCCAGGAACGAGUUUCUUCCGCAUACCACGGGACGGCAGGAUGACAGCAUGGAUGCAGUACGCUGGAAGAGACGAUCUUCUGAGUAAGCCGGGCAGCGUAUUGUACGCAACCUACAGAGUUUGCAGCGACCAUUUCACUGCUGAAAGUUUCAUGGACCCUGGGCAUACAAGGCUUACAAAAAUGGCUGUGCCGAGUGAGCACC